RNAcentral lists this ribosomal RNA (302 nucleotides) under uncultured bacterium. Its description in RNAcentral is "partial 16S ribosomal RNA". It matches the Rfam family "Bacterial small subunit ribosomal RNA", at positions 508 to 807 of the family's 1533-position model. The record is from RNAcentral.
GCAGUAGCCGCGCGGUAAUACGGAGGGUGCAAGCGUUAUCCGGAUUUAUUGGGUUUAAAGGGUCCGUAGGCGGAUCUGUAAGUCAGUGGUGAAAUCUCACAGCUUAACUGUGAAACUGCCAUUGAUACUGCAGGUCUUGAGUAAAUUUGAAGUGGCUGGAAUAAGUAGUGUAGCGGUGAAAUGCAUAGAUAUUACUUAGAACACCAAUUGCGAAGGCAGGUCACUAAGAUUUAACUGACGCUGAUGGACGAAAGCGUGGGGAGCGAACAGGAUUAGAUACCCCAGUAGUCCCUGUCUCUUAU